CAUUAAGAUAGAGGCUGUGUAACUAAUUCCAGUUGAAUUAGGUUAUAUUUUUUCAAGAUGGAGGUCUUCCAUAGCAAUGUUACAAUAUUCUUGGUGUUUUCCUGGAUUGUAGGAAAACAUACUGGUAAAGGACUAAGUGGUGCCCACCCUGGUUAUGUUUGGCUAGAGUGGCAUUUCUGAGGGAGCAAGAAGGGAUGCUUUUUUUGAAUAGACUGAAUCUAAUUUCUUUUCUUUUUCUGUUACUUGGAACGAUAGUUAAGACUGCCUAAAGAUGAGGAUACUACUGUUAUCAAAGCUACAUGCCAAAUAGGAAGACAGAAACAAUCUCAGUAAGAAAGAUAGCUGUAAGACUUGCUCAUCACAUUGCGAGCAUAACCUUCCAGAUGCAAAUGGGCGCAAAACAGAAGCAGAAGCCUGAGCUACUGGCUUAUACCCACUAAUCACCUUGCAUUAUUCAAGUGUUGCCUUAUUGGAGAGGUUGUCCUUGAGGAGAAAAGUUACGUUGUUCCCGGUGAGUUAGCA
This 522-nucleotide long non-coding RNA is filed under the name Struthio camelus australis. RNAcentral describes it as "lncRNA (ENSSCUG00000014885.1)". Lineage: Eukaryota; Metazoa; Chordata; Aves; Struthioniformes; Struthionidae. The record is from RNAcentral.